UAGGGAAUCUUCGGCAAUGGGGGCAACCCUGACCGAGCAACGCCGCGUGAGUGAAGAAGGUUUUCGGAUCGUAAAGCUCUGUUGUAAGAGAAGAACGUGUGUGAGAGUGGAAAGUUCACACAGUGACGGUAACUUACCAGAAAGGGACGGCUAACUACGUGCCAGCAGCCGCGGUAAUACGUAGGUCCCGAGCGUUGUCCGGAUUUAUUGGGCGUAAAGCGAGCGCAGGCGGUUUAAUAAGUCUGAAGUUAAAGGCAGUGGCUUAACCAUUGUUCGCUUUGGAAACUGUUAAACUUGAGUGCAGAAGGGGAGAGUGGAAUUCCAUGUGUAGCGGUGAAAUGCGUAGAUAUAUGGAGAAACACCGGUGGCGAAAGCGGCUCUCUGGUCUGUAACUGACGAUGAGGAUCGAAAGCGUGGGGAGCAAACAGG
This 429-nucleotide ribosomal RNA is filed under the name bacterium. RNAcentral's name for it is "partial 16S ribosomal RNA". It matches the Rfam family "Bacterial small subunit ribosomal RNA", at positions 355 to 776 of the family's 1533-position model. The record is from RNAcentral.